AGUGGUAUUAAGUAGAGAAGAAAAAAGAAUAAAAAAUAAAAUAAAAUGAAAUAAUAAAUAGUUUCUCAACAGUCAAGACAAGGCUGUUCAAGUAAUUACUUCUCAUAGUGUCUGUUUCACUUCUACAGGUUUCCUUUUAGGUGCUCUGUUAGUUGUCACAGAUCAGGGAGAACAUAUGAUAUUUGUCCCUUUGGGACUGGCUUAUUUCACUAAGUAUGAUAUUUUCCAGAUUCAUCCACUUAGCUGUAAAUGACUGGAUUUCAUUUUUAACUGCUGUGUAGUAUUCCGUAGAGUACAUAUCCCAUAGUUUCUUUAUCCAGUCUUCUGUUGAUGGACAUUUAGGUUGAUUCCAGGUCUUGGCUAUUGUGAAUUGAGCUGCAAUAAACAUGGGGGUGCAGAUGACUCUUAUUUUACUGAUUUCAUUUCCUUUGGGUAAAUUCCCAGGAGUGGGAUGGCUGGGUCAUGUGGUAGGGCUAUAUUUAGAUUUCUGAGGUAUCUCCAACUGUCUUCCAUAGUGGCUUUACCGGUUUGCAUUCCCACCAACAGUGAAUUAGGGUACCUUUUCUCCCACAUCAUUGCCAGCAUUUGUUGUUUGUUGAUUUCUGUAUGUGAGCCAUUCUAACUGGGGUGAGGUGAAACCUCAUUGUGGUUUUGAUUUGCAUCUACCUGAGGCUAAUGAUCCUGAGCAUUUUGACAUGUGUCUGUAGGCCAUUUGAAUUUCCUUUUUUGAGAAAUGUCUAAUUAAGUCCUUUGCCCAUUUCUUGACUGGGUUGUUUGCUUUGCUAUUGUUGAGUUUUUUUGAUCGCUUUAUAUAUUCUUGUAACUAUAAUUUUAACAGGGUUUAUAAUAGUAGAUUGAGUGUUGUAUAACUUAUUUAGUCACUUCUCUCUUGUUGGAUAUAUAGGUUUCUUCUGCUUUUUUACUGUUCUUUGUGCAUAUAAUUUUUCCAUAUUUUAGGAAUAUUUUUGGGAUACAAUUUCAUAAGUUGAGAAUAAAGCUAUGAGAACACUAUGAUGCUUGAUGCUGUUUCAUAUUCAUAUGACCUAAUUGUUUUUAAAAAUGACUAGAGUGGGCCAAUGCUGUGGCAUAGCAGGUAAAGCUGCUGUCUGCAGUGCUGGCAUCCCAUGUGGGCCUGGGUUCAAGUCCCAGCUGCUCUACUUCUGAUCCAGCUCCCUGCUAAUGGCAUGGGAAAAGCAGUGGAGGAUGGUCCAAGCACUUGGAACGCUGCCACCCACCUGGAAGAUCCAGAUGAAGCUUCUGGCUCUUGGCUUUGACCUGGCCCAGCCCUGGCCGUUUCAGCCACUUGGGAAGUGAACUGGAGGAUGGGAGGUUUCUGUCUCUUCCUCUCUCUCUCUGUUGCCCUGACUUUCAAAUAAAUAAAUAAAUAUUUAAUAAAUAAAUCUUUUAAAAAUGACUAGAAAAUUAUAGUGCUGUUACUGAUAAUACAUUGCCAACUUUGAAUAAUAUUAAUCAAAAAUCUUUCUCGACUUCACAGGAAAAAGUACCUGUGCAAUUUGAAGGAAGGACUUAUUCAUUUAAAGAUGUAUUUAUUUGAAAGGCAGGGUGAUAGAGAGGAGGAAGUGGGGGGAAGAGAGAGAGAGAAAAAGAGAGAGAGAGCAAGUGAGUGAGCGAUCUAACUUCUAUUUGCUUGUUCACUUCCCAAAUGACCACAAUGGCUGGUGCUGGUCCAAGUUGAAGCCAGGAGCCCAGAGCUCCUUUGGGUCUUCCACGUGGGUGACAGGGACCCCAAGCACUGUGCCAUCUUCCACUUCAUUGGCAGGGAGAGCUGCAUCAGGAGUGGAGCAGCAGGGCCAUGAACCAGGGCUAUGAUGUGGGGUGCUGUCAUUGCAGGUGGCGGCUCCAUCCACUGUGCCGGCUUUCCGCUUUGCGAUAUCUAGAGAGUAAAUAUGGAUCCCGAGUAGACCUGGAAUAUCCCAAAUGCACUUUCCCUAGACUGCGGCUCUUCAUUGUGACUGCAGCCUGCCCCAAAUCUAAGAAUUCAAGCGCACAUCUUCUGAUGACACCGAGACUUAAUUGGAUCACGCUGUAAUUGGAAAGGUUAGGAGAGUCAUCCUGGUGCUAAUGCGGAGGCAAUGGCUCGGCUGUUCGGUUAACAGCCUCGUCUUUUCUUAUUUUAGGCAACAGCACUUGUGCUUGCAGAAUCACAUCUUCAGGGCAAGCAUAUUGCAUUCAAUCUGUCGUGUGAAUUGUCUUCAGUUGGAGAAGGCCACUGUCUUCUUUCUCCUCUGUACUCACCUGCUGUAGCAUUGCAUGUGACGUAACAAAGGCAAAGGGCAGGGGACACAUUCCGAUCCCAGAAAUGGACUAAGACACGGUGACAGCAAACCCCCCUGCACACAGACUCGCUCACCAGGCUGGGUAGGGCUGGACCAGGCCACGGAGUGGGGAUUCCUGUCAGUGCCUGCACCUGAGGAUGCCAGCUCUGGGGCCUCAGGUCACCCUUAGGAGCUGAGAGGAACGCAGCGUGGAAGUGGGAGUGUCGCCCAGCCUGUGGCCCUCUGCUUGACCUGACACAAAGGCUCUCGGUAUGACUGACAUUUUACCCCUCCUAGUCCUGUUAAAAUGUAUUUUACAUGAUAUGUGUGUGUAUAUAUAUAUAUAUAUUAUACAUAAAUGAUAAAGCAUGUAGGUUCCAUUCUGCAAAUGUUUCUUUUUAAAUGUCUUCUUCUAUUUUUCUCUAAAUCCCAUCCACUUAAGAAAAUUUAUGACCAAACCUAACAAAUUAUUUUUGUUGCCACGAAUGGUAACUCCUCUUGUUUCUGUUCUGAAGAUGGGGUGGGCAGCACAGAGUUGUCACGGAGAAUCAAAUCAAACAGCUUGUCUCCAGGAGCCCUGAAGACUGUCCCAAAUGCCAGCACUCUGGGGUUCAGCGGGCAAACAGAAGCUCUGACUUUUGGAAACUGAUCUACUCUUUCGUUGGCUGAAAUAAGGACAAUUAUGAGAGUGACACAGAUUAAAACAACAAUAUCAUUAUUUGAGGGAGGGAGAGAGAGAGAACUAUCUCCCAACUGUAGGUUCCCUCCCCACAUGCCCACAACAGCUGGGGCUGGCCAGGCUGAAACCAGGAUCCCGGAACUGCGCCCUGGUCUUCCAUGUGGCUGGCAGGAAACCCAAGCACUUGGACCAUCACCUGCUACCUACCACGGUGUGUGUUAGCAGGGAGCUGGAAUCAGAAGGGGAGCCGGAGCCGGCACCGUGGCUCACUAGGUUAAUCCUCCGCCUUGCGGCGCCGGCACCCCGGGUUCUAGUCCCGGUCGGGGCACUGGAUUCUGUCCCGGUUGCCCCUCUUCCAGGCCGGCUCUCUGCUGUGGCCAGGGAGUGCAGUGGAGGAUGGCCUAAGUACUUGGGCCCUGCACCUGCAUAGGAGACCAGGAUAAGUACCUGGCUCCUGCCUUUGGAUCAGCGUGGUGUGCCGGCCUCGGUGGCCAUUGGAGGGUGACCCAAUGGCAAAAGGUCUUUCUCUCUGUCUCUCUCUCUCUCAUUGUCCACUCUGCCUGUCAAAAAAAAAGGGGGGGGAGCCGGACCUGAGCCCAGGCACUUGGAUAUGGUAUGUGUGUGUCCCAAGUGGCCUCUUAUCCACUGUGCCAGGCAUUACCAAAGAAUGAUACUUCUGCAUAGAAUUUAAAGUGUAAGUGACUGCAUGUUUCUGAGUGUGUGUGUGGCAGGGAGGGCUGCCAGUCCUGAAGUCAGUUAUGCAGCCUGGGGACAGAGACGCACACACAGGAAGUCAGAGGUUACAGCGCAUCUCACCACGCGGACAGCCACUCAGAGGCAGGAAUGUCUGCCCCCUUCUCAGGUCCCUGCAGGAAGGAGCCACGGGGGGAGGGCGGGGGUGGUUCUGGAACAUGUCUGUGACCCCCCAAGUCCCGCCCCCAGCGGCAGCCAGUCUAUGAGCAGCUGCACGCAGCCUGGGCUCCACGUGCUUUAGGCCUGGCCAGCGCCCCCGAAGUUAUGCCUAGGGCUUAGGUUUACUUUUUGCUCCGUGGCUGACGAAGUCCCAGACGGACCCCGGGAAGUUUUCGCCACAGCCCAUUUCAAACCCACCCAACUGCCUGUGGCAGCCGAGGG
This is a non-coding RNA of Oryctolagus cuniculus (rabbit), 4089 nucleotides long. NCBI's taxonomy places the organism in Eukaryota, Metazoa, Chordata, Mammalia, Lagomorpha, Leporidae. The record is from RefSeq and is a predicted model, not a curated record.